RNAcentral lists this ribosomal RNA (249 nucleotides) under uncultured bacterium. RNAcentral's name for it is "partial 16S ribosomal RNA". It matches the Rfam family "Bacterial small subunit ribosomal RNA", at positions 524 to 776 of the family's 1533-position model. The record is from RNAcentral.
UACGUAGGGGCAAGCGUUGUCCGGAAUCAUUGGGCGUAAAGAGCGCGUAGGCGGCCCUGUAAGUCCGCUGUGAAAGUCAAGGCUCAACCCUUGGAUGCCGGUGGAUACUGCAGGCUAGAGUCCGGAAGAGGCGAGUGGAAUUCCUGGUGUAGCGGUGAAAUGCGCAGAUAUCAGGAGGAACACCAAUUGCGAAGGCAGCUCGCUGGGACGUUACUGACGCUGAGACGCGAAAGCGUGGGAGCAAACAGG